RNAcentral lists this ribosomal RNA (472 nucleotides) under uncultured bacterium. RNAcentral's name for it is "bacterial SSU rRNA". It matches the Rfam family "Bacterial small subunit ribosomal RNA", at positions 355 to 825 of the family's 1533-position model. The record is from RNAcentral.
UGGGGAAUCUUGGACAAUGGGCGCAAGCCUGAUCCAGCAAUGCCGCGUGCAGGAAGAAGGCCUUCGGGUUGUAAACUGCUUUUGUACGGAACGAAAAGGCUCUUUCUAAUAAAGAGGGCCCAUGACGGUACCGUAAGAAUAAGCACCGGCUAACUACGUGCCAGCAGCCGCGGUAAUACGUAGGGUGCGAGCGUUAAUCGGAAUUACUGGGCGUAAAGCGUGCGCAGGCGGUUCUAUAAGACAGAUGUGAAAUCCCCGGGCUCAACCUGGGAAUGGCAUUUGUGACUGUAUAGCUAGAGUACGGUAGAGGGGGAUGGAAUUCCGCGUGUAGCAGUGAAAUGCGUAGAUAUGCGGAGGAACACCGAUGGCGAAGGCAAUCCCCUGGACCUGUACUGACGCUCAUGCACGAAAGCGUGGGGAGCAAACAGGAUUAGAUACCCCAGUAGUCCCUGAGCGGGCUGGCAAGGCGCAU